Gorilla gorilla gorilla (western lowland gorilla) is the source of this 106-nucleotide small nuclear RNA. The record is from Ensembl. Lineage: Eukaryota; Metazoa; Chordata; Mammalia; Primates; Hominidae.
GUGCUCACUUCAGCAGCACAUAUACUAAAAUUGGAACAAUACAGAAGAUUAGCAUGACCCCUUUAUAAGUUUAAAAAAAAAAGAAAGAGAAAUGAAAGCCUCCUUC